AACUAACGCUGGCGGCGUGCCUAACACAUGCAAGUCGUACGAGAAAGUUGGCUUCGGCCGAUGAGUACAGUGGCGCACGGGUGAGUAACGCGUGGAUAAUCUGCCCUUAAGUGUGGAAUAACGUACCGAAAGGUGCGCUAAUACCGCAUAAUGCCUGGCAACAUAAGUUGUCCGGCCAAAGAAGGCCUCUGCUUGCAAGCUUUCGCUAAAGGAUGAGUCCGCGUACCAUUAGCUAGUUGGUGGGGUAACGGCCUACCAAGGCGACGAUGGUUAGCUGGUCUGAGAGGAUGAUCAGCCACACUGGAACUGAGACACGGUCCAGACUCCUACGGGAGGCAGCAGUGGGGAAUAUUGGGCAAUGGGGGAGACCCUGACCCAGCGACGCCGCGUGAGGGAAGAAGGUUUUCGGAUCGUAAACCUCUGUUGUACGGGAAGAAGGAAUUGACGGUACCGUACGAGUAAGCCCCGGCAAACUACGUG
This 480-nucleotide ribosomal RNA is filed under the name uncultured bacterium. RNAcentral describes it as "bacterial SSU rRNA". It matches the Rfam family "Bacterial small subunit ribosomal RNA", at positions 29 to 507 of the family's 1533-position model. The record is from RNAcentral.